Molecule: transfer RNA, 72 nt
Filed under: Candidatus Amesiibacteriota bacterium
Lineage: Bacteria; Candidatus Amesiibacteriota
Description: Candidatus Amesbacteria bacterium (sediment metagenome) tRNA-Lys
Rfam family: tRNA
About the family: Transfer RNA (tRNA) molecules are approximately 80 nucleotides in length. Their secondary structure includes four short double-helical elements and three loops (D, anti-codon, and T loops). Further hydrogen bonds mediate the characteristic L-shaped molecular structure. tRNAs have two regions of fundamental functional importance: the anti-codon, which is responsible for specific mRNA codon recognition, and the 3' end, to which the tRNAs corresponding amino acid is attached (by aminoacyl-tRNA synthetases). tRNAs cope with the degeneracy of the genetic code in two manners: having more than one tRNA (with a specific anti-codon) for a particular amino acid; and 'wobble' base-pairing, i.e. permitting non-standard base-pairing at the 3rd anti-codon position.
Source: RNAcentral
GGGGUGUUAGCUCAGCGGUAGAGCAGCUGCCUCUUAAGCAGUUGGUCGGAGGUUCGAAUCCUCCACGCCUCA